CAUGAACAUGGGCGAGGCUGGGGCGGAGCCUGAGGCGGAGCUGUCCUUGCAAGUUAGUCCAUCCUCCUCCCCGCCCACGUGGUUGGAAAUGACAGUACCAGAAGAAGCAUUUCCGCAGUUCCCCUAGCUGGGCAAACCCAGAUAGCUCUGCAGAGUUCCAGUCAAGUGCCAAGGCUUGUUCUGAGCUCUGAGGACGCAGUGACUUCCACAGCAGACAAGAUCCCUGACUUCAAUCAGUUCUAAGCCUGACCAGGGAAAGAAAAUAUAGGACUUCACUGUAAUUGAGGAGCAGGCUCCAAGACUGCUGUAAACAAGUCUCUCAAGUCUUGAGGGAUAAUUCUAUUGUAAGUUGACAGUGAGUUUAACGUCUGCUUCAAAAUGGGACAGCUCACAUGGAAUCCAAAUGAUGAUGGAUGGAAUAAUCCAGUCCUUGGCCCAGUUUUGUUCCAGGAAAUGUCCUUUGAGCUCUUCAAACAGGGGAGCUGAAGGGCCCAGGGUUGAUCUGUCCUGCCCUUCAAAGUCAUCCUUGGACACACCUUGUGAAACCCCAGUAACACAGGAAUUUUAAGGAAGAGGAGACUCACAACUUACAGCUGCAGAGACUGAACUUCCAGUUGUAAGGUAUCACAUGACCCUCUACUCCUCGCUGCCCCUCAUCCUGGGCCUCCUCACCUCCUGGGCUUACAAGGUGUAUGGACUUCUUUACAUCUUCUCUAUGAGAAACAUCAAGAUGCGUGAAGGAGUGCUGAAGACCUCAAGUCAUGUGGAAAACCAAGUUGUAUGCUGGGGUUGCAGAAGAUGGAAUGCUGGCUCUUUAAAACAGGGUGGCUGUGGGGCUAUCUUCUCUUUCCAGCCAUCAUGCUCAGAUAACUAUGAGUUGAAGUUGUGGGAUCUAAAAGAGCCCACUGCAGGGAGAGGAGGGGUAGAGAGCUUGUGCCCAGGCUGCUGGAGGUGUCUGAUCCGCAACAUCGUGUUUGGGUUACACAGCUCUAUCGAGUUCUGGCCUGGCUCCCUCCUGUGGCUUGUGGGCCACACCAGGCCGAACAGAGUUCCAAGAUUUAGAAAUCGUGGUUCCAGACCUGUUCUUCAGACCUUGAAAGAGAAACAAGCAAAGGACUCUGUUAGUGACAUUGAAAUCAGCUGGACUUCACACAGAGCCACCCUGCUGUCCCAUAGCUCUCCAUGAGAUUCCUCUCCCCCUACCUAUUCCCAGACCUCAGGCCCAAUUCUCUUCUCUCCCCUUACACUUCCCCUGGUUGCAUCCUUUACUUCUCUGCUUCAGGUUCAACUUGCCCAGCAUCCACAUAAAGGGGUACAGUAGGAAACUCCUUCUAGGGUCAUAGAUAUCUUAGGGUUCAUGUCCUAUCCAUGGAUGCAGAAUAUCAAUGACAAAAGGCCUUGCAAUUCACAAAAGAAAUAACACUAGGGGAAGUCACUGGGCUUGCUUACGCGCUUUCCUUGGGACUCCAUUUCCCAUGCCUUGCUGUCCCUUACCUGGGGACUGUGUCUUCUGUCUUUGGGGUGAGGAGGCAACAGCAUAAACAGGAAACCAGGCGACUAAUCCGCCUUCUUACCCCUUUCCAGCCUUUUCUGUGCUUCUUCUUGGAGCCUGUGGCUUCCUCCUGGGGCUGGUCCUUGCUAGAGAUGGAUGGUGACUCUUCAACUGUUACUUUGUCGAGGUUUUAAUAUUCAGGGUUCUCAUUCCGAGGACAGACCAGGAUGUCAUUAGUCAUCUGUUCUCUCACUGUACUGUAAAUCACUUUCAUUCGGGUCUCUAGAUGUGCUGAUGUCAGUGGUGACCUUAGCAUCAUGCUGUGUUCCCGGCAUCCCUGUGUUGCAAGUGUCUUCCAGAAACCGCAGCUCAUCAAGGGAGGAGAGACUGAGCCUGAUGGUGCUGCCCGUAUCCUCACUCUCAGCCUCCUCAGUAUUAUGCUGCAUUUCUGGCAUCCAUGUGCUGCUGGUGUCUUCCAUGGAGCACAGUCCUUGGAGGGAUGUGAGACUGAACAUGUUGGUGCUGCCCGUCUCCUCACUCUCAGCCUCCUACGCAUCAUGGGGAGAUGAGUUAUAAGAAGUGCUGUCCUCAGGGCAGGAGAGGUAGUCCAUGGGUCACUGUCACCAGAUGAGGUAGUAGACUCUGUGUCCUCUGAGUUUUUAUUGUUGUUAUAGCCGGGCACAGGAGAAUACCAUAGGAUGGAAUUCUAAGUCCAGCUGAUAUCCAGUACCUUGGAUAAAUCUGGACAGCUGCAUCUAGACGACCUCUUGCUCUUUUUCACAUCAUUCAACUCUAGCCUUUUGUAUUCUUCAGAUGCCAUUUAUGUGGGCAAUUCAGGUUCACUCCCUGCCCACAUUAGGGUGGGAGUGAGAGUUGGAGGACCUGCAGAAUCGCUCUUUGGAACCGGCCAUACAUCCACAAGGAUGUUACUUUCACUUUUUCUCCUGUUGACAAUAUUGGUUUUUGCUAGGGCAACAUUGUGCCUAUUUGUUACUUGGGAUUCUAGGGUUUUAUCCAGCAGCUUGUAUAAAUCUGGAUAGCUGGACCUAGAGGACCUCUUGCUUUUCCUCACUUCAUUGAAUUCCUGCUUUUGUUUUCUUCAUAUACCACGAGUGUGAGCAAGGCAGGUUAACUCCAAGCCCUCCUUAGGGUGGGAGGGAGGGUGGCAGGAUCUUCACACUGGUUCUUUGGAACCUGACACACUUCACCAAGGAUGACAGUAUCACUUUUUCUCCUGUUGACAAUAUUGGUUUUUUCUAGGGCAUCAUUGAGCCUAUUUGUUCCUUUGAUUUCUAGGGUCCCUUCAGCCAUGGGUCCUAAGGCACACAUAGUAUCUCCAUUGGUGGAGAUGGACACCCUGGAUCAGUUUCUCUCGGUGGUUCUAGUAAAUUUUCAUCACAGAGA
This is a non-coding RNA of Cricetulus griseus (Chinese hamster), 2896 nucleotides long. Lineage: Eukaryota; Metazoa; Chordata; Mammalia; Rodentia; Cricetidae. The record is from RefSeq and is a predicted model, not a curated record.